Molecule: ribosomal RNA, 478 nt
Filed under: uncultured bacterium
Lineage: Bacteria
Description: partial 16S ribosomal RNA
Rfam family: Bacterial small subunit ribosomal RNA
Source: RNAcentral
GACGAACGCUGGCGGCGUGCUUAACACAUGCAAGUCGAACGGUAAGGCCCUUCGGGGUACACGAGUGGCGAACGGGUGAGUAACGCGUGGGUGAUCUGCCCUGCACUUCGGGAUAAGCCUGGGAAACUGGGUCUAAUACCGGAUAGGACCACUGCCUGCAUGGGUGGUGGUGGAAAGCUUUUGCGGUGUGGGAUGGGCCCGCGGCCUAUCAGCUUGUUGGUGGGGUGAUGGCCUACCAAGGCGACGACGGGUAGCCGGUCUGAGAGGGUGACCGGCCACACUGGGACUGAGAUACGGCCCAGACUCCUACGGGAGGCAGCAGUGGGGAAUAUUGCACAAUGGGCGCAAGCCUGAUGCAGCGACGCCGCGUGAGGGAUGACGGCCUUCGGGUUGUAAACCUCUUUCAGCACCGACGAAGCGCAAGUGACGGUAGGUGCAGAAGAAGGACCGGCCAACUACGUGCCAGCAGCCGCGGUAA